Non-coding RNA from Macaca mulatta (Rhesus monkey), 1010 nucleotides. The record is from RefSeq and is a predicted model, not a curated record. Lineage: Eukaryota; Metazoa; Chordata; Mammalia; Primates; Cercopithecidae.
UGGUUGGAAAGAGAAGAGACCAGAGGUCUGUUUCUGAAAAUCUCACAUCAGAGAACAAAGUGAAGACGCAUCUAUGUAUAGAACCUGGAAACGUUGGUCCGGGGCACUCCUAGACCUCACUUAGAUUUUGUGCAUCUUCCCUAACACUUCUGCCCAGGAUCAUGCUUUUCUUCGGCUACAAAUACUUAAUAUUCUCCUCACCACCCCCUCCUACAUCUCUCCUUCUUGAAUUUGUUUCUUGUCUAUUCCCAGCCACCCCGGAUGUGGAUGUGUGAGAAGCCAGCCCACUUCGUGGAUGAGCGUAGGUAUCUGCCUUCCAGAGACCGGGGCUGCAGGCCGAAACGCCCGAACUACUACCAGAAGACACACACCUGUUUGUGAAUGGCGGCUUCUGCAUCACUUAGCUUUGUUGGGGGUGAAGGGAGAUCCUAGUAUAAGAUUUGUUGAUUUUCUCAGAGUAUAGCUGACGACAAAGGCCUGUGAAUUCCCAAACACUUGCCCUUCGACGUGAGGAACCUUCUGCAGUAUCUCCAGUGAGACGUUGCCCAGGGGAGUCAUGCACAAGUGGGCAGUCUCUUAUUCUGACCAGAAAUGAGAAUGGAGAUAAUACCUACCUCACAGCACUAUUGUGAGUGUUAAAUGAAAAAAUGUAUGGAAAUUUGCCACCAGUAACAAAAGAACACGGGGACAAGUGACUAUUGCAAAGUUAAAGUAUGUGCAGUACCUGGAAAGUAUGGAAAGUACCUGACACAAGAAUGUAUUGCUAAUGCCCAGAGAAGUGGAGAGGCAGGUCAUCUCUGUUGCCAGCUUAAAGUCUCCUGGUGCAUUUUCUCUCAAAAAGUGAAGCAAACCCGUUCACUGGAAUGUGAGGAACAUAGUGAUGAGGCACCAGGAACCCCCAUCCGGCCCCCCGCAGAAGCCCUCCAAAGGAAGGAAAAGGGACUCUUGGGUGGCUGGUAAGAUGGCCGAAUAAGAACAGCUCCAGUCUGCAGUUCCCAGCAAGAUCAACA